Long non-coding RNA from Gasterosteus aculeatus aculeatus (three-spined stickleback), 707 nucleotides. Lineage: Eukaryota; Metazoa; Chordata; Actinopteri; Perciformes; Gasterosteidae. The record is from Ensembl.
CGGAGCUAGCUGAGCGUCGGGGCACCAGGCAGCUUCAUUAGCCACUGUGACAUUUAUCUGAUCCACCGCCGCGUCUCCAUGGCAACCCUCAGAUGCAAACACGGCAACGCGUACCGCCGAAAUCACAUGGCCUCACGUGGACCCAGACCCACAGACCCAGGUCCUCCAGCAGGGACCAGUCCACCAUAAACAGACCCAGGUCCUCCAGCAGGGACCAGUCCACCAUAAACAGACCCAGGUCCUCCAGCAGGGACCAGUCCACCAUAAACAGACCCAGGUCCUCCAGCGGGGACCAGUCCACCAUAAACAGACCCAGGUCCUCCAGCAGAGACCAGUCCACCGUGGACAGACCCAGGUCCUCCAACAGGGACCGGUCCACCAUAAACAGACCCAGGUCCCCUGGCAGGGACCAGUCCACCAUAAACAGACCCAGGUCCUCCGGCAGGGACCAGUCCACCGUGGACAGAUCCAGGUCCUCCAGCAGAGACCAGUUCACCAUAAACAGACCCAGGUCCUCCAGCAGGGACCGGUCCACCAUAAACAGACCCCGAUCUGUUAGAAUUUUAGAACAACAACAGAUUUCUAUUAAACAACAACAUAUGAUAUGAAUGUUUUGCAUCAAUUUGUGUGUGAUAACAUCUCACCACAUGUGCGUGUGUCACGGUGUGUGUUUGGUUAGCUGACCUUGGCUGCCCUGCUCCCUCCGG